RNAcentral lists this long non-coding RNA (660 nucleotides) under Mytilus galloprovincialis (Mediterranean mussel). Lineage: Eukaryota; Metazoa; Mollusca; Bivalvia; Mytilida; Mytilidae. The record is from RNAcentral.
GUCCAAUCUGCGAUUCCCCCUCCUGGAAAGGGAGAGUAUAACUAGCAUGCACAAAGACCUUAACCUAAUAAAACAUCCCUGCCAUGUCCAAUCUAUGACGCCCCCUCCUGGAAAGGGAAAGUAACUAGCAUGCAAAAAGGCCUUAACAUAAAAAAACAUCCCUGCCAUUUCCAAUCUGCGAUGCGCCCUCCUGGAAAGGGAGAGAAACUAGCAUGCACAAAGGCACUGUCCUUAAAAUAACAUCCCUGCCAUGUCCAAUCUAUGAUGCGCCCUCCUAGAAAGAGAGAGAAACAAGCAUGCGCAAAGGCCUUAACAUAAUAAAACAUCUCUGCCAUGUCCAGUCUGCAACGUGCUCUCCUCGAAAGGGAGAGAAACAAGCAUGCACAAAGGCUUUAACAUAAAAAAAACCAUCCCUGCCAUGUCCAAUCUGCGACAUGCCCUCCUGAAAAGGGAGAGAAACUAGCGUGUACAAAGGCCUUAACAUAAAAAAACACCCCUGCCAUGUCCAUUCUCUGAUGCGCCCUCCUGGAAAGGGAGAGAAACAAGCAUGGACAAAGGCCCUAUCCUUAAAAAACAUCCCUGCCAUGUCCAAUCUACGAUGCGCCCUCCUGGAAUGGGAGAGAAACCAAUAUGCACAACGGCCUUAGCCGAAAAAACCAC